This 249-nucleotide small nucleolar RNA is filed under the name Penicillium subrubescens. RNAcentral's name for it is "Small nucleolar RNA snR191". It matches the Rfam family "Small nucleolar RNA snR191". The record is from Rfam by way of RNAcentral. Lineage: Eukaryota; Fungi; Ascomycota; Eurotiomycetes; Eurotiales; Aspergillaceae.
UUCCAUCGCUAAGUCAAGGCUUCUUCCUGCGACUCAUGUCGUAUUUUUUCUUCAAUGGAGGUCUGUCUGUUACAGCUUUGGUAGAUCGACAAUGUCCCGCACCAAACUUCUUUCUGAAGCAAGGUUGACUGGUCUUCGUCUUGAAGGCUGGUCGUAAGGGUUCAUACGUGUUUUGUUUAAGAGUUGAGUUCUACUACUGCCUUUCUUGGUGGCUUGAUAGUUGAACUCUUAGUAACAUCCCACACAUUC